CACGUAGGGGCCAAGCGUUGUCCGGAUUUAUUGGGCGUAAAGAGCUCGUAGGCGGUUCGACAAGUCGGGUGUGAAAACUCCGGGCUCAACCCGGAGACGCCACCCGAUACUGUCGUGACUGGAGUCCGGUAGGGGAGUGGGGAAUUCCUGGUGUAGCGGUGAAAUGCGCAGAUAUCAGGAGGAACACCGGUGGCGAAGGCGGGAUCCUGGGCCAGUACUGACGCUGAGGAGCGAAAGCGUGGGGAGCAACAGG
This 253-nucleotide ribosomal RNA is filed under the name uncultured bacterium. RNAcentral's name for it is "partial 16S ribosomal RNA". It matches the Rfam family "Bacterial small subunit ribosomal RNA", at positions 524 to 775 of the family's 1533-position model. The record is from RNAcentral.